RNAcentral lists this ribosomal RNA (253 nucleotides) under uncultured bacterium. RNAcentral describes it as "partial 16S ribosomal RNA". It matches the Rfam family "Bacterial small subunit ribosomal RNA", at positions 524 to 776 of the family's 1533-position model. The record is from RNAcentral.
UACGGAGGGGGCUAGCGUUGUUCGGAAUUAUUGGGCGUAAAGAGCUCGUAGGCGGUUUGUCGCGUCUGCUGUGAAAACCCGAGGCUCAACCUCGGGCCUGCAGUGGGUACGGGCAGACUAGAGUGCGGUAGGGGAGAUUGGAAUUCCUGGUGUAGCGGUGGAAUGCGCAGAUAUCAGGAGGAACACCGAUGGCGAAGGCAGAUCUCUGGGCCGUAACUGACGCUGAGGAGCGAAAGCAUGGGGAGCGAACAGG